UUCAGGCGCUCUUUUGCAUGAC
Molecule: microRNA, 22 nt
Filed under: Tribolium castaneum (red flour beetle)
Lineage: Eukaryota; Metazoa; Arthropoda; Insecta; Coleoptera; Tenebrionidae
Description: tca-miR-3862-3p
Source: miRBase by way of RNAcentral